GUUUUUUUUUUUUUUUUUCCGGUGUUUAACUGUUUUCUGUUUGUGAAAAAGCUAUAAAAUUUAUUUAAUGUUUAAAGAUAGAUUUUUGUACAUUCUGCUAAAUAUUUAUACAUCCAUACGCAAUGUUUGUCAUUUGAUAUUUCUAGUACCACAUGUUGAUCAGUCUCCUGGAUUCUAAUGUCUGUUAUUGAAGGAAGGUGCUUUGCGCAAAUAAAUGAACUUUGAGCUUUUCCCUAGCUUUUUUGCUGCUUUUUUGCUGCUGUGUUCCUUUGUAGUUGAUUUUGCAGAGGCACGAUCAUGUGCUUUUGUUGUGAAUUUCUAUCUCACGUUGCUUCUGUUCUUCACUAAAUCUUGUAGUUCUACAUGAGGACUGGAAAUUGCAAAUUUGGUGCUUCCUGCAAGUAUCACCAUCCAAGGCAAGGAAGUGGAUCUCAAACACCAGUGAAUCUUAAUUUUUUUGGGUACCCUUUGCGACCGGUCUGUACUUUGUGCCUUUUCCUUCUUGAUGUCUUAUUCAUUUUUAGCCUUUUGAUUAUCAAUAUUUUUCACGUAUCCUUCUGACCUAGCUCACAAAGUUCUUGUCACAGGGUGAAAAGGAAUGCUCAUAUUAUGUGAAAACAGGGCAGUGCAAGUAUGGUGUCACCUGUAAAUAUCAUCAUCCACAGCCAGCCGGUGUUCAAAUGCCAGCACCAGCGCCUGGACCUGGACCUGGACCUCUGCCUGCACCAGCAACUGUACCCGCGCCUGCUAUUUAUCCUCCUGUGCAAUCUCCUUCUGUGCAAUCAUCUCAACAGUAUGGUGUAGUGCCUGGAAACUGGCCAGUUCCAAGGCCUACUCUAUUUCCAGGUUCAUACAUCCCUGGUACAUAUGGUCCUAUGCUGCUUCCCCCAGGAAUGGUUCCUCUUCCGGCUUGGACUUCUUACCCAGUAUGUGCAUUUGAGCCUGUUUGUUUUGUCAAAAUCUUUUCAUAUUUGUCCUCAUUAAAGUGUAUUGACUAAUGUAAACUUUUGUAGACACCUGCAAGUCUUGCAGCCACUGCAAGUAAUCAACCUGCUAUGGGAGCUGGCCAUAUUUAUGGAAUAACUCAGUUGUCUCCUUCAGCUCCAGCAUAUACAGGACAGUAUCUAUCCAUUCCACCUGCUGCUGGUCCUUCAGGAAGCAGCCAGAGGGAACAUGCUUUUCCAGAAAGACCUGGCCAACCUGAAUGCCAGUAUUACAUGAAAUAUGGUGACUGUAAGUUUGGGGCUUCUUGUAGAUAUCAUCACCCGCCUGAAUUGAGUGCACAGAAGGCAAAUCCUGUCCUUAGCCCCAUGGGUCUACCUCUACGUCCGGUAUGCCUUCUCAAAUUGACACUUAGCUGGGGUUAUGUUUCUGUCAUUUGAAAUUGUGUGGAAGUUGCAAUUCCUUGCCCAAAAAUUUUUAGUUAGUUCAUUUUAUUUUUCUAAUUAACAUUAGCAAUAUAUCUACAUGUGCAUAUGUUGAAAGUCUCUUUUUUUUAGGCAUGAAAUGUUUCAUUGAUGUUUUCGUAAUAAUGCAAGCUGUAUUCACUUAGAUCGAUGGAACACAGGAAGUUCCCUCUUCCUGUUAUUCCUGCUCUUUCUUCUUGUGUAUCGACUAUUUUUCCAUGCAAACAUUCUUACUUUGAAUCUUGUUAAGCUAAAAUUACUUCUUAUUCUCUCUGGGACACAUCUUAGUUGUGAGGAUACUGGUUUAUCCAUGGAUGGUUGUACCUUUUUUUUAACUUUUGACAAUCAGUAAGUUGUCCAUUUUAUUUUCUCACUAGCUUGGGCAUUUUGAAAUGUUCAGCAUGCAUGAAUCUGAGAUUCAUUUCAAUUUGUUUGGUUGAUACAGCUUUAGAUGCACACUGGAUUUUAUGUAAUUCCAGGUAUGCAUAUUUGUUGUCCAUCUCCAUAUCCCCAGUGUCUUGGUUUUGCCCCCUUUCACUGUUUGAUGUAUCUGCAUCCAGUGCUUUGUGCUAAUUUUUUUCCCCUUGUCAUGUCAAUUACCCUGAACUACAAAAAACUUAUAAAGAAAUUAUUUAUCAAAAAGGAGGAGAAAUUACUUGUAUAGUAAAUCUGGCUUAUCAGCAUACACCCAUAUAGUAGCACUAGGUGGUAAAUGGUUAUUAUGCUUCCUUUAAUAAGUUUACUAUAUGAUUAGUGGUGUAUGAUCAACAAUCAUAAAUAUAAAAUUAUCAGUUUAUGGUCUGAGCUAUAGCAUUUCAAGGGACACCAGAAGCUGCAGAUUGUUGUUGCAGCUGAAAACAUUAUCUGUUACCUUUUUUUUAACUUCUGAAAACUGCUGGGUUUGAAUUCACUGGUUAUUUUUUGUUUAUUUUUUUCACAGCACUGUUUAUUGAAAGAUUGUUAAAUAUUUGUAGGUGAAAUCCAUCCAGGACUUAACUGUCUUUUCUGCAUGAGAUUGCAGAGAAAUAUGGUCAAGUAAUAAAAUGGUUGAUAAAUCAGAACUAUUAUGAGCGGAAUAGACCAACCUGUGACCUUUGUUGCGAGAAGGAUGUGGUAAUUUGAAGUUGAAUAAAAAAGUAACUAUGUAGCAGUAAGUAACAAUUAGGAGUUGAAGCAAAGUAGUCAAUGCAUUCAUAAAUUCUUGAGAUUACAUAGUGUAAAGCCCCAAUAGAAUGAGUCUGAUAAAGCUUUCUAAGCUUACAAUCUCAUAUGCAAGAUCAUUCAUGUGAGUUGGAAAGAAAGUUGAGCUUUUUUUUCCCCUAAAAAUUGUUUAUGUUAGGCUAAGUGUUUUUUCAUGCCAAGGAUGAUGGUAAACUUUUUAGUUAGGAUGCCAGUAGAGGAUGGAAAUUUUGCUUCGAGAGAGUAUAUCUGAAGUUGUUUGCAUGCUUGAUACUUUAUGAUGUAAUAUUAGUUUCCAUUUUCUUGGUUGAGAGUGUAUGUAAAGCAGUCAAUUUGUGUUUAUCUUCACAGGUAUAAGCUGCUACGGUAGGUGCUUGCAGCUUCCUAAAUAAUCGCCUAACAUGUUUAUUUUUGUAACAGUUUCUACCCGUAAUUGCUGAUUUAUAUCGCAACAUCAUACAUGAGCUAGGUCCUUCUAUGUGAUCUUGUGGUUUGAAACUCAUGCUUGACUAGUUGCUUAUCUAUGGAGAAGUCAAAUGUGCUCAUAAAGCUUUAAUUUUCCAUUUUAUUUGAUCUGCCACUGCAUAUUGCUGGUAUUAUUUAACACAUUUUAUCUGGAAAAGGAGUACACAAAAAGCUUCUUAUUAUGCAUAUAUUUGGCAAGUGGGGUGUAGUCAGUUUAAAUGCUGGGAACUCACUCUUAUGAAUUAGAUAUAAGCACCAGAAAAUCAUGUGCAGCUCAUGAAUGAUUACCUGUUUAUGUGGUCUCCUUUUUCUUUCUUCUACAAAAUUUUUAUUGAGGGCUUGGCAGUCGGGAGGGUUGGAGCAAGAAGAGGGUAUAGGUUGGAGGGGUAUUUUCAUUGAGGGACAAUCCGUGACAAAAGUUCUUGUCUUUGUUUUCCAUUGGAACAAAGAAUUUCUUUGGACAUCUUUUUGCUGUUCAAAUUGUUUUCAUGGCAAAACUCUUCUUUUAGUUGCCAAGUUAUCGUUGUUAAUCUUUAAUCUGUUCUUCUACUGUACAUUAUUGACCUGUGACUACAAUAUUCUGUUAUUUUUCUUCUGAUAUACCUUGGUACUGCUCACUUACUUCCCCUUCUGAUUCUUAGAUAAAUGCAUGAAGAGUAGAUCAAAACAUAGUAACUGAAACAUAGAAGCACUUGGAUUAGCAGUGAUUCUUCUAAAUUUGGGUAUGCUGUAUGAGGACUCUUGAUGUUCUAAGGUCUUGAGAUGCAAAUAGACACUCGAAGAAUCCACCCUCACGUUCAUAUUCUUUCUAGCUUUUUCCAUAGACCUAGAAACUGUGAAAAUUGCAGUUCUCUUGCUAUUUUUCCUUCAAGAAGCUUUCUUUUUUCUUAGGAUAAGCUUCUUUUGACUGAUUCUUAUGCAGUGAUUCUUCUAAAUUUGGGUAUGCUGUAUGAGGACUCUUGAUGUUCUAAGGUCUUGAGAUGCAAAUAGACACUCGAAGAAUCCACCCUCACGUUCAUAUUCUUUCUAGCUUUUUCCAUAGACCUAGAAACUGUGAAAAUUGCAGUUCUCUUGCUAUUUUUCCUUCAAGAAGCUUUCUUUUUUCUUAGGAUAAGCUUCUUUUGACUGAUUCUUAUGUUCAUUAUAAUUUCCAUAGGGUGCGGCUGUCUGUUCUCACUAUUUACAAAAUGGAGUAUGCAAAUUUGGGCCUUCGUGCAAGUUUGAUCACCCAAUGGGGACUCUAAGCUAUAGUCCAUCUGCAUCUUCUCUUGCUGAUAUGCCUGUUGCUCCUUAUCCAGUUGGAUCUUCAAUGGGUACUUUGGCUCCAUCAUCCUCCUCAUCGGACUUGAGGCCUGAACUUAUUUCUGGAUCCAGCAAGGAUGCCUUCUCCAGCCGAAUGUCUUCUGUGAGCGCUUCCAGUGGUUCUGUUGGUUCAUUGUUUUCAAAGAGCAGUAUAGUCCCUCAUUCAAGCACUCAGCAGCCUGGACAGGGAACCUCUACUUCAAGCGGCAGCAGUAGUACAGUACAUGGAAGUGAGGUUCGCACGUCAAGCUGAGCAAAGUGAAGCUAAGCAAUUACAAUCUUUUUUUGUGGAUAACUCUCAUGGACCCAGUGAUAUAUUUUUUAUGCAAAUCACUUCCUAGGGGGCUGUUUCUCAUUAGUCAUCAUGGUUCCAUCAAUCAGGUCUAGGAGAUUGUAGCUCUGUUAAUCUGUGUUCAUAUAUCAUUACAUGGCCACCAUUUCCAUUUUCAAUAAGCCAUGCCCACCUCAAAUGAUCCAGCAAUCUUGGUAUAGCUUCUUGCUGGUUCUGAAUAACAAGAAAAUACCCACCUCACAUUUAGAAAUUCUACACCCCAGCCCAAAUUUUGGAGCUUGUUGUCAGUUGUCCCCAUUUAUAUUGGAAUCUUUUUCGGAACGAAAAAGAUCAGUUUCAUAUUAUUCUUCUUUCAAAUUUGACUGCCUUCAUGGCCAUCUUCAAAUUUGGAAACAAGCUUCCAACUUGACUUAGGAAUGAACACCAGUAUCUCCUUGUUACCCCCUUUUUGUAUGGGGCUUUGUUGUGCAAAUUAUCACAUAAGGGAACUGCAAGAAGGCAAUGUAAAACUGCCUUAAUAUGUAUAAAUUAUAUGGUUAUGUUGUGAUAUGAACAGGCUGAACGCUUCUCGAUAAUUUAUCUUCAAUACAUCUGAUAAAUGAAGAUACAUCUUUGACAAUGUAAGAAUUUCUAUUUUCAUUCUUCCUUUGUUUAUGAGGAGAUGGUUGCCUCGUUUGUGCUUGUACUAUAAUUUAUGGUCAACCCUCGGAAAUAAAGCAUCUGGGAUUUGGGUCAGGUAAUGGCAUGUACAUUUUUGCACAUCGGAACUUGCAAGUAUCACAUCCAUGGCUUCCUCGUUUAGCCUGAUUAUAUGUGCUUAACAUAAGGUAAUGUUGAACGGGCUUUGGGAGCCUUUUACUUCUUCAGUUGGAAGUUGAGUCCAUGGUUGCAAUGAGUUAUAAAACUGAUUUAUUUAUUUAUUUAGUUUUUAUAUUUAUUACGUACAGAACUGCUUUCUUAUUGGGGUGUUGUUGCACAAACCCACAGAGUCGCCGUAUAAGCUUGGUGUUCCUCCUGGUUUUCAUCGAGGAUGUAGAAAAAUUUCCAACUAAUUUCCCAACCAAGCUCUCCCUUGAAAGUAACAUAUGUAUGUAUAGUUUCUAAAAUUUUGGGUUAAACAAGGGUCUGCAGCAUAACAUGCAUGCUUAAUACUGCACAAGCACUGGGAAACAAGGCACUCUAUUAACUGUACGUAGAAGAUUUUGAAAAGACGUAGGUAACUUGUAUGGAAGGUGAUGGAUUUGGGUUUUACUGAUUCAACUAGACAAAUAGGAGGACACCUUUGGUCUGAAAGCAAAACUGGCACAGGAACUACAUCGAUCAAUCUUUGCAAAGUAUUGUCUGAUUCUUGCUUGUUGCACCCCCCAAAACCAGAAAAAAAAAACCUUAAAAGCGAGGCUAAAGUCUAAACAAGAAAUGGCCCCGGAUGUUUGUGGUUGCAAGUGGAAAUAGCGACCAACCUCCAAGGACCCUCUCUUUAAAGGGCAUGGAAAAAAGGGACUAUCACUUGGGAGGACGUCUUUUUCUUGUAUAUGCUUGCGGAGACAUGUCUUUGUUUGGCACAGCGAAUCUACCGCAGGGAAUGUAGGUUGGGUCUUUUACUUGGAUAGAGUUAUGUAUGUUCAUAUAUUCAAGGAAAUCGAGUGCAACCAAAACCCUUCCCGGAAUUUUAUCGUACUACUAGGGAAUUACGUAAAAUAAGAAGCUACGCUUGUCGUGCGCAAGAAUGGAAUGCAUGUUGCAUGACUGGCGAACGUAAAAAAAUGCCUGCCCUAGCCCUAGCGGAAAGAAACACUUAACGCCCUUUUCGGUUUUUUGCCUAUUUAUGAGCAAAUGAAGUUUGAACAACAAAACAUUAUCCGGCAAUCGAAAACAUUAUAUUAGUUUCUGAUAAAUAUAGGAAGCUCUAGAGUAAUUACAUUUUUCAUGCAAAGGUCAAAAGAAAAGAGCGAAGAAAACUGGAAAAUCAAGAAAGAGAAGCUGCAUGCAAGUUAAAAAGAGUUGUAACUUGGAGAAGUUAUAGCUCAACUCCAAGUCAGUAAGUUACGAGACAGCAUUGGAACUUAGAAUAGGGGAUAUCCCGAGUCAACAACAUCACCAAAUGCAAAUGGAGGAAAUACAGAGGAGAAGCCAGCUGAUGAUGUGGCUGCAGCCAUUGACUCGAGACUUGUAUUGUCCACGGUUGGAUCAUACCCCUCCAUGCAUCCAGUUUCACCCAUCAAUGGGUUGUUGAUCACUGCUGAAAGCUCACAAGAAUUCAUCUCCCAUGACUGCUCGUUUUCCAAGAAUCCAAAGUUAAGUCCUUCGUAGCACGAAAAGUUUCCAGGGUUUGUAGAAUCCACAGGAAGAACAUUAGUCACGUCAGCAUCAGAAUGUGAUUGAUUCUCUAAAACCCUCAAAUUUGAGUAAUUACUCUGGUCAACUGAUGUUUGAUCAGCAUUGCUGUUAUUUGAGUACUCUUUGUGAUGAGAUGGAGGCUUUAAGCAAUUAUCAGGAACUAUGCAGUCCAAGUAGCCUGAGUUGGUUUCACUCCCGCUAGAGAAAAAGAAGUUCUCACUAGGGGAUGAACCAUAAGAGGACUGAGAACAAGCGUCAUUGUCAGAUGAUAUUGGAUGCUCUCUGGCCUGAGAUGAAGAACUAGGAUGUUUAGUAGCAUCAUGUUGUUUAUUUUGGUUCUUGGUCAGCGAGUGCGAUGGCGGCAGUAUGGAUUGGAGAUCAAAAGGGCUGAUAAGAGAAUGGAAAUUUGUGUUAUCUGAGUAUACAAAAUUGGUUCUUGCUUGAGUCCCCUUCAUGGAAAGUGCUGCUCGAUCAUAAGCAAGGGCGGCUUCUUGAGCAGUAUCGAAUGUACCAAGCCAGUGCCUUUCUUUUGUGGUAGGAUCUCUGAUUUCAGCAGCGUAUCGGCCCCAAGGCCGCCUUCUAACGCCUAGGAACCUCCCUGGUUCUGCUUGCUUUCUGCGACCUCUUUUCUCACUAGGUUGGGAAACAGAAGUGUUUCUUUGUAGUAAAGUAAAUCCUGUUUGUGUAAGGAUUGGUUCAUAGAGAUUGAAGGGUUUUUCUGGGGUUUUGGAGGUGGACAUCGCAGAAAAGAAUGAAGAAGAUUAGGCCAGAGUUAGAGGCCUGGAGACUGUAUGAGAACAAAGGUUGUGUUAAGAGCUACAGCAGAAAUGCAGAGAUGGAAGGCUGUGAGAAUGUGUAGGAUGCAGUCCUUAGGAGUUAGGAGUGAGCUCUUUUAAAGACUCAUCUGAUCUCUCUUACAAUCAAAGGGGGCAAAAGGACACUGCAACAUGUCAUUCAUCUCAAGACCAUCUAGCUCUUUUUCAAAAUUUGUACUUUUCAGCAUUUUUAUGUUACUAUUAACUUUUUGUUAGUAUUCCAUUAACAUCAAAAUCAUUUGUUUUCGUAAAUAUAAAAUUGAGUAUUAUUGUUAGGAUGAAAAUGAAGAUUCUCUUAACUUUUGUCAAGCACAUGCUGACAUGCCGUGGUAAAGGUUCGAGAAUACUUCUAUGGAGCCAAGUAUUUCCAAAUAACAAUUGUUUUUUUUUUCCUUGGCUUCCCUUCCUGGGGUAGUCUCUCUAACUUCUAAUGUCUUGAUUUUGCUCAUACGCUUCCCUAAACUAAGAUUUAUAUUCCUUGUUCAUUUGCCUCGUGUAAUUACAGUAAUCCCUGUUUCCCCUUCACCUUUUGUUCAUUCGAUCAAUAUGCAUGCAUGCAUGACUAUUAAUUAAGUCACUGUGCCAACAUAAGGUUAAUUUAGUGAUCCUACAGAAAAUCAACCAGCUCAUGCAUCUCAAAAAACAUGUGGUGGAUGGUCACUUACUCAUUUUUAAAAAAGAAACUCAAAAGCAAAACUAGUUUAGUUGAGGAUGAAACAGAGAUAAGAAAAGAGCAAAGAAGUUUUUGUCUCCAUAUCCUUGAGAGUCUCGAACUAUUUGAAUUUGAAGGUAUCAAAAGUGGUAACUUCUAUUUAGUGUAGGGUUGCACAUGUUUAUCCGCGUUAUCUGCAGCAAGUUUCCUUCCACACUCUUUGUCUUCUCUAUAAAUUUUCAAAGGGAGCAGUUAAAGAUUAAGUUUAACUAAAAUGACUAGCAUAAGUUUGAGUGAGAUAUCGCAUUGGCCUGUGUAAUGGAAAUACUCUAUCACCAACAAAAUGUCAGUAUUCAACGACAAUAGAGGCAAUUCACAAGACCUUUAGGUCAAAAUACUUAGCCUUAUAUGCAUGUCAUUUCCCUAGGCUCUUUCCGCGUUAAAUCUUUCUACAUUGUUAUUAUUUGUCCAUAUACUGAUUGUGGUUUGCUUUGCCCAAGAAUGGGUUUUGGUGGCAAGCCAUUAGAGGUGGGCAGAAAAUGAUCUACUCAUCAAUAUCUCUUCAGGGAUCGUUUCUGAUACCUUGAGAAUGACCAGUAUGGACUGAAAUAAUGUAAGAAUUUUUGGGAAUUUCUAUCUUUUCUCAACCAAAGUCUUCUAAUCAAGUACGUUUCUUCAACCAUUAGUUCUUUUCGUUUUUCCCUUUGAACGGCUAAUCUUGAGGGAUUAUAACCAAUGUUGCCAAACCCAAACUAGAUUAAUUAUUGUUGGUUGAACUUCUUUAACUUGAUUUUUUUCUUGAACUAGAUACACACUGAAUAAUGAAGGCAAAUAAUAUAGUCUGAGUCCCCAUUCCAAGUUUUAAUGCAGUAUGAUGGAAUGGUCAAAGAAUGAAAUGCCUGUAAAAAGCAAUGCAAUUACUUAUCCAGACCUUGGCGUGACAAUCUGGGUGGAUUUCUUCGUAAUAAUAUAAACUGGGGCAGUUUGUAACGACGUCUGCUUAGGUUUUACUACAAGCUAACCAAGAGCAAAAUUCCCUAGGCCAAAAAAUUUUGUAAAAAAAAAAACAUUUUUUUUUUGGUCUAAAGGGACUAAGGGAGUCGUGGAUCUGUGUCCUUAUCUAAAAGGAAGCAUAAAAGGCUAUAGUCAAAAGAGCAAUCAAAAGGUUGAGGAAGACAUAGGAAGCCACAUGCCCUCAAAUAUAAACAAUUAGUGGGACACUAUCGCUCACUAAACCAUUUCAUCAGCAGUUCUAACAGGACACUCAUAACUUUUUCCGUAUUGAUUAAAGUUUCACAUGCCUAAUUGGCAUUGGGAACACCAUAAGCUAAUCAUAUAAUCAAACGGGUCAACCCCUUUUUAUGUCCCUAUCAUACCAGAAUUCUAUAGUGUUUGCCACUUGUUCCUCUUAAUGGUCUGUCCCGAAUUAUGAAAAGCAUAAAUGGUGGUAACAAAAACAAAUUGAAAAAUUGAGGACAAGGAGAGCAUAUUCAAUGCAUAAGUAGUUGAGUUUUAAUGAAAAACAGUCAUCAUCUUUUAGUCUUAUGACCUAGACAAAAUCUGGGACUCUUGACUGAUCCACUAUAAAAAUUACGUAUUCGAGAAUUGAAUAAAAACAGUGACUAGAAAGCAAUCUUGAGGUCAUUUCCCUAAUAGACCAAAAAAGUGUCAUAUCAGAAGAUAAUUAUGAAAAAUAAGGGAUUUUAUUUGUUUAUUUUCUUUUAUUAUGGUGAUGGAUGGAGCGGUCUCUGGAAAGUAGUAGUAACAAAGUUUGAAUUGAAAAUGAUGCUGGAUUAUGCCUUCCUUGUAUUAAAGGUAUGCCACAAGAAGUUUAGAAUUUGAAUUACAUGAAUAGUCGGUCAAGCCUCAUAUGAAAAGAUGUGAUCCACUUGGUAUUUAAGUACUUCAAGUUUAUUACUAAUAAAGUGCUAAAACUUAUUAGUACUGCUAGUAUUUGUUGGAUGGCAGCUCCUUAACAUGCAUGAAUUUAUUUGGAUCCCUUUUCUUGAAAAGUAAACACAAAAGUAUGGAAAAUGUCAAGUGAAGUGGGGGCCUCCUUCUUCCAUCCCUAAGUUCCAUCCUGACAAGAGAAACUUGUUUUGGUCAGAUUGGAAUUUUGCACAUUCUCCCAAACAUGAACAUGCACACACUUUUGUUGUAAGAUACUUAAGGUCACCCGGAAUUUGGGGAAAAAGAUUAUGACAUUCUAAGGACUAAGGACUCUCUGGGAGCCUUUGGACUUUGACGAGACUGAGGGGAAGGGAUCAAGGGAUUUUGUUUGUCUUUGACCGGCUCAGAAUUGAAUUCUUAUUUCUUUCCAAAGGAAAACUGAGCCCUCAACAAGGCUCCUUGAAGGGUUUUUCUUGUUCCUUUUUCUACUGCUUAAUCACAACAUUACUACUACAAUCCUGCAGCUGCAAGUAGCCAGGGGAAUAUCAGGGAUAUUGUUGCUCAGUUGUUGGGAUGGGUUGAGACAUGGUGUCUCAUAUUUCAACGUGGUACAGAUAUACAGACAGUGGAGAAGCCUCAUGUGACCAUAAAGACUGUUAGUGUUAGAUGAACGUAAACAGCUAAUUACACUUCUAUCAUGAGAGCUAUUGUGUAAAUUUCACAGUAAGACACAGGUAAACUUGAAAGAUUAGGACUGUGCAUAUUUCACCUCGGGCAUUGUAUGGUGACGCAUGAAAUUUGGCUAUUUAUCCUUCACCGUUUAUCUCCAAGAAGGGGGCAGCUCAAUAGAUCUAGCAAAACUUGAUUGGAUUGAAUUUUGAACUAACCAAUAAGCUAGCCAGUUCGUAUAACUUUCAAGUUUCGCCCCCUCAAGAUGAAAAUGCAGAAUAUGAAGGUGUCCAACGAGUAGCCAAUAGCCACUUGCAAAUUCAAUGAGGCGUGUCACUUCCCUCCCCUGCAACUUGUCCCAAUUAUUAGUUAAGACUUCAAGGCCUCGAGGCUUCAAGCAUGUACUUUUCUCGUACCAUUAUCGUGGGGUGGGGUGGGGAUGGGAGGCAAGAAUCUGCAAAUUCACUCAUCUGACUCUUAUCGGAUUUUGCGUGAGGAAGAGAAGAUAGCUAGUCCAUGAAUAGCCAACCCACUCAUGGUUCAAAGCCGUGGUCGCGGUCACGGUCGCGGCCCGGAACGUUCCACAUCGGUUUCGGCAUAUCGGUCGCGGUCUUGGUGAGAUGCAAAUUUUAAAGUAUUUAAUAUUCUAAAAAUUAUUAAUAAUAUAAAAAAAGUAUGCUAAACAAAAAUAAUAAAAAAUAGCAAAAAAAAUGGCCAAGUCAAUCCGUCACGGUGUAACUCGACCGAUUUCUCGUCUUGACUCGGGAUAACUCGGAGUGACUCGGUGUGACUCGGCCGAGUCAAUCCGUCGCGGUGACGUCUCGGCCGAUUUCUCGGCGAGUCAAGUAUUUCGGUAUCGUUUCGUCACGGUAUCGUAUCGGUAGGAGCCGAGACCGAGACGACUCGGCCGAGACUUCGAACCAUGAACCCACUUGAGACUCCAUGUCAAUUGGUAUUACUGUAGCAUUUGCAGCCUGAGUUCUUUCUUUCCUGAUUUCCGGUUUCCAUCCUUUUGGUCCCCUAUUUAACUGGAGAAACUACGACUACAAGUUCUUUUUAAAAAUUUUUUUUUUUCUAACAAAGAAAGAGUGAAAUUUAAGAAGUUGGAGGAGAAAGGGGUUUAAUUUUUGGAAUGCCUACAAGUUCUUUUGGUCCCCUAUUUUUUGUAAUUAUGUAUAUAUAUAUACAUAUAAAAUAAAUGUGCAUUUGAAUGAAGGAAAGCACACUCAAGAUCGAACGACGACUAAAGAAUUUCCAACAAGUCUAAUCAACAUAUACUAAGAAUUUUCUUGUUUGGAUUGCUUAUUUCUGUCAGAAAAUAUUGUCAUUUUCCGUGAUCACAUUUCACCUUUUUCCCUCACAUAUAUCAAAUCGCUACAGUAAUUUUUCCAUGAAAAAUGAUGGAAAAUGCAAUCCAAACACAAACAUUUCCAUAGGAACCAUGAGAGCUCAUCUGUUGGCCAAUUGCAAGUCUGCAACAGGUGCAAAUAGUUCCGCUCAAUCCCUUCCAAUUUUCUCUCUGGCAAGGAAGAUAACAAAAAAUAUCUGCCCAAGAUUUGAGGUACGGUGAAAUCACGUACGGAAGAUCAAAAUAAUUAAGUCCGAGGAAACACACAUCCGGAUUGUAUUACCAACCGUUCGUCGAACAGGAAGGAAGAAGCCAGCUAACUGUUGACUGCCACACAAGAGAUGGGCAUGGUGACGUGACACUCGAUACUGUUGCCAAGUAAUCAAGGGGGCCCACCCAAGCAGACGUGUCGGCUCCUUGGGAUUCCACGUCGGCAAGGAAGGACCUGCAAAAUACUGUACAUAGAGAGAAGGAAACGAAAAGAAAGAUUGCGUUGCAGAAUGCAGGGUUGACAGAGUUAAAUGCAUGUGUAUUUGUCGAGGGUUUGUGUACUUGGCUACGUGCCCUUGACAACUGAAUCAAGAGGGUUGAAGAAGCAGUAAAGAUUUGUUGAGGGUUUUUGUUGUACUUGUAGUUGGGUACGUGCCGAGAGAAUUGAAUCACAGAACUUAAAAGGAGGCAUGAAGAAGCAGUAAAGAUUUUGUGAUGGUGAAUGAAUCUUCAUUCAUUCUUUUCAAGUGUAGGUGAAAAGUCUUCAUGGGAAACGAAGUGGUACUGAAGGAAUUAUUGUCAACUUUCUUCUUCUCUUCUGAUCUUUUUGGAUCAGAUUGUCAAUGAGCAUUUUGCUUUUCAGAAAUAUGAUGGGGUUUUUUUUUUUUUUUAAUGCUAUAGGAGCAUUUAGGAUUUAACUUCAUAUUUCUCAGUUUGCUAAUUCAGAGGAUAACAACACAAUAUUUCGGCGCUCACUCUAAACUUCAAUGCUGAUCCCUCCAAUCCAUGCAUAUUUAACAUAGAACUUCUCUAUUAAAUGCAAUAUAUACUUGAAGAAUGAUAUCUUAAAUGAACAUUAUGCAUACCCUCUACGUUCCUGUUCGGAUAGAGUAUUAUUUGAAAUAUUAUUUAGAAUAAUUAUCGUAGUAUUUUUUUUGUGAUAUGAUGUAUGUGAGAUAAAAAGGUGAUUGAGAAUAUAAAAAGGUGAAUUAGGAAAUGUGUUUAUGAUACAAACGAAAUAUUAUUUGACAAAAUUGAGCUAUCCAAACACAAAUGUUUCAAAUACAAGGAGAGUACCAAGAUGACAUAGGUAGAGCUAUGGAGUCGGGAAUGGCAUUAGUUUUCAGGUCAUUACGAAUUAAUAAUGGGCUAACUAGUUCUUUGUAUGACUUCAGGUCAUUCUCGUUUUCCCGUGAAUUAGUAGCCGCGCGAGCUGAACAUAAUAAUAAUAUCAACUGUUUUUGACCAAAAAAGAGUGGGAUAUGAAAGCAAGAAUUAACACAGUAUCCGUCUUUAAUUUUCAAGGACCACAUUAUCUUAUUUUAGAUAUUCAGGACUCAUAUAAAAUUCUGGAGGUAUUUCAAGGAGAAUUUUGAACAAUUUGAAGCAUUUUCACUUUGGUAGGAAAGCUGAAUUGCACACGACACUGUAGUUCUUGGGGCGGCUGGAUUUCCAUCCCUACCGAAGCAUGAAAUUGUAGCUGCAUAAUUCUUGAGGCUGGGAACUUUCAUAAUUCAUGCGGCCAAUGCUUGUUGCUUCUCUUCUUUUCUUUCAUUGGGCCUGUUGUUUCUUUGCUCAAAUGAAAUUUAGAUGCUUCCCCAUUCUUUGGUAUCUCCAUUCCAAGUCUACUUCGAUCACAAAGUCAUUCAGCUCAAGAACACAAAUCGAAAGGAUAAUAUUCAUCUCCCCUUUCUUAUGCAUCAAUACUCCUUGUUACCCAAAAAAAAAAAAAAGACAAAAAUGAUGACAGUCAGCCAUAGAUAUACCACUAAAUACUUGACAAAACACAAGCUGAAAUGAGAGGAAGAAGAGUGCUUAAUUAUCAUUGUUACAACAGGUAUCUAGUGUGACCGAUAUAUUGUAAAUUGUUUGGAGUUACUUCAGCAGAUCUUCUGAACAAUUUCUAAUUAUCUAAGGCCAAGGUGGUGAUCAAGUCAGAAAAGAUGACUCGUUUAAAUUAUUAGAGUAAGCUGGAUUAUAUCCAGCUGAACACGACAAACAAUACAAGGAGAGACCGGCAAAUCGAAAUCCAGACUGGAUUUUAAGUGCCAAACACUACAUUUACAACAUUGACGACUUCUCAAUCUGGCCAGACCUGAAUGCGAAGCUCAGAAAUGAACCAAGCAAUCUAGCACGAACCAUGAUCCACUCUUACAAUGGCUUAAAAGGCGACGUCAUCAAGCUCCCUGGUAAUAAAAGCAUGUGCAGCAAAAUCUGCCUCCGCAUCAGCAUACCUUUUUGUGUAAAACUCUUAAGUACAUUGUAGGUUUGAAUCUGUAAUUUACAACUACAUGAUGAUUCUGCAUAUCCAAAGAUUCAACUCAUCAACCAUUGAAUACAACAAUUUAAGGAACUCAAAAGCCAACUGCUUCAUUGUCUAUACCACUAAUAUGAAUGUAAUCCUGCUUCUAUUCGUACAUGGGCAGCCACAGAAAGCAUCACCUCGAGAGUGAACUUUAGCUGUCUCACACAAAUUGAUAAAAGAAUCAAUGAGUACUGCUUUCAUAUUCCUCCAAUCAACCAUUAAAGGGAAAAGCAUUAAACAGCGUGAGCUUACUAUUGCCCGAAGCUACAGAUGAUGGCACUAUUUUACAAGUGCCCCAGAUUUACCUGCGACUAUUCCCGGCAUUUCCUAGCAAUGAUACAGCUUGAGUGGACGAUAUCAACAAAGAUCAUUUAACUGAAUCUUCCGCCCACUUCCUCACACUUGAGGGACCAGCAUUGUCAGGAGCAUCGUGCCAUACCAACUCCAUCUGGAAGGAUAGAGGAAAAUAUAUACUUGUAAAUACUUUGUUAUGAAAUCAAGUAUGAAGAACAUUUACAGAUGAGGUUUAUCCUCUCAAUGCACUUCAACUGAAUCUUAUAAAAAUUGAAGAAGAAAACUAUAGAAAUAAAAAACAUGCUAAAGAUGAGAAGGAAAAAGAAAAAAUAAUUUCAACUUACAUCCCCAACAAAAACAGUGUGACCUUCCUUCACACCAAGUCUGAUGAGAGACUUAUUCACACCACAUGCCUCCAGAACAUGUUGAAACCUUUUCGCAGAAUCUAUGUAUCUGCAAAAGGAACAAAUUGAUUAAUAUCAAACAGCAUUUUGGAUGAAAACCAUUAUCUUGAAUUAUACAUAUCAUGGCUAAUGUGUAUAGUAGAUUCAAGACAUAGCAUGGGGACAGGAACUUUAGCAUGCCAACACAGAAGCACGUACUUAAAUGGUUAGACAAAGACAUAUAAAGCAUUAUGACAUGGUAGAUGUAGGUUCCUUCUAUCUGACUAUGUGUCCUGAGGGGAGGUGGAUGCCCUUGAUCUGUCCAGCAUGAUAGUUCCAACAAAGUUUUUUUUUUGUUGUUUUGGGGGGGGGGGGGGGGUGUUGGCAAACACAAUGACUUGACAGUAAUGACCAACAAGCUUGGUACCUCCAGUUUGUCAUUUGGACAAAGCGUUGUAAACCUGAUCCUGUAACAUGCCAUGUAUUGCUAUCACUAUCAUGGGAGAUCUCAAAUUCAUUUAUUGGAGCAGUUUGCUGCUUUUGCACCAUAUCAGCCACAUGGUUUAAAUUUACCGAACCAGUUGCACCUGAAUUAGAAGGUCUAGUGGUUAGAGCAUAUAAAAUUGCAGUGACAAUCAAAAGUGUAAAUUUACACAACAGGGAAACAAGAGUUCAAGGGGCAGGUUGGGCAAGCACCAAUUAAGAUUCUAGCAAUUACUCAGAAUGAGAACUUAACAUGGAUUUCUGACCUUCUUUACUGACUUCUCUUACUUCCUUAGCAAGUCUAUGAGCAGCACAUAUCACUUCUUGCGUUCCUUCACUCUUCACUGCACUCAUACAAAAAGGUUCAAUCUCACAAGAACGUAAUUUUUCUCUGAAUGAUAUCCAAUUUUCACAUGCUUCUGGAAGAUCCAUCUUAUUAAAUGCAACUACAUAAGGCUUUUCAGCAAGUUCAGGACUGAACAUUUCCAACUCUAGACGAACUGCAUCAAACUCAUACUCUGGUUGCUCCGAUGAGCCAUCAACCAUGUGCACCUAAUCCACCAGAGUUAUCCCAAUCAGUAAAUAAGAACAUUUUCCUAUGCACCAAAAUUUAGCUAGACAAAGGUGGAGUUUUGAUCUCAUAGCAUAAUAGCAAUUCAAAGAACCACCAAAGAAAAAAUAGUCCAACAAUCAAUAACCACCUGGCAGGGAAACUAAAGAUUCAAGCAGGAAGCAGACACUAUACAACAUUUUAAUUGAUGGGUAGGACAAGUGAAAGAAUAAACAUUUAUGGCCGGCAGUUUAAUCUUUGGGGCUACCAGGAUUAUGUGGGUGUCACUGAAGCCACACAGCCAGGAAAUCUUAAGACAGAUUGAUGGUGGGCCCAAUAAUACACAGCUUGGACCUACAAAUGCUAAACCUAAGUGUGGUUUAUAAACAGAGAACACAGAAUAUGCAAUUCAAGGCUCACAAAAUAAGUUAAACGUGAAAUAUAUAAUGAAAACCAAAUGAAGCUACACUCAUCAGUUGCUCUUAUUACACACAAAAAGUUGUAAGCAGCCUAUCAUGACUUGCUAUUUUUACAUGCAAAAGCAUGUAAGCUACAUAGCAUCAGUUGCUAUUAUUAUGUGCAAAGCUUGUAAAUAAUAAUAUUUGGGGGUCCCUCCAAACAAUUACCAGAACGGAACAUCUUUCAGUGUGCCGAAGAAAUUCAUGGCCUAAUCCAAAACCUCGAUGUGCACCCUCAAGCAGCCCUGGCAAAUCAGCCACUACCAUUGUUGCAUCAUAAUCAAAUGAAACCACACCCAGAUUUGGAAGCAAAGUGGUAAAGGGGUAGUUUGCAACAGCUGGCUGAGCAGCACUAAUAACACUGAGAAAUGUACUUUUCCCCGCAUUUGGAGCUCCUACAAUUCCAACAUCUGCAACCAACUUUAGCUCUAAUUCCAACCACCUGGUCAGGAAUAUUAUUACUUGGAGCAAUUAGAUAGGUCCACAAUGUGUUAUCGAAAAUAGAGGAAACAAAAACUGUAGUUAACCACUGUGGCCUGUCAUCCAAUCAAGGACAUGGUUCCUGAAAGAUUUGCUUUUUUCUUGGUUAUCUUUAUGGGCAUCAGACCAGCUGUGCGCACCGCGAGAGAGAGAGAGAGAAACAGACUUAGAUCAAGUCCACCUGUAUGAAUCAUUUUUUCAUUUGAUCGAUGUCAUGCACUCCAUGGGCUUUUCAUUUGCGGCAGUGAGUUUCUUGUAAGCAGUUUUGCUAGAAUUUGCAUAGAGGCUGACAAUGCGUUUGGCUAGUAUUCAAGGAGCUAUAUUCAUUUGCUAUCCAGAUAAUGCUUUUGAAAGAAUAUCUGUUUACAUUUUUCUUUGAUUUCUCAAAUUCUUAUAUUUUUCCACCUUUUGAAGUUCGUGCACAUCUAAAACAGCAUAGUCAUUGGCUAACACAACCUAGGUUAAACAACCAUUCUGAACUCUCCAUCAAAGAAACAGAGCAGACAUCAUAUAAGAUGCUGACUUAAUAGAUUAAAAUCUUUAGAAAUAGCAAAAGAACAAUCAUAUUUUCAGCAGUAAAAGAAACAAUUCAAAGAAGGAAUCUGAAAGUAAGAAGCACUCACAUUUCAGGACCUUUUUCUCCGUUCUCUGCAAUCUUAGGCACCUUAUUCAUCCCAGUUUUAAAUGAUGCAUUCCCUCUCCCACUUCUCCCUCCAGGUAACAACAAUGCCCUCUGCCCUGGCUGCAAUAGCUCCAAUAGCACAUCCCCUUGCACUCCACCUUUCCCAGCAGCCUCCUUAACAACUGUCCCAGGUGGGACCUUCACCACCACAUCCUCACCCUUUGCUCCAUUCUGCUUCCUCCCAUGCCCAUGCCCUCCCCUUCCUGCCCUAAAAUGCACACUCUGCCUAAAUGGCAAUAAAGAAUUCAUCGAACCAUCCACUUCUACAUACACGUUCCCUCCCCUCCCACCAUCCCCGCCAGAAGGACCCCCAAGUGGCACAAACUUCUCCCUCCUAAAAGCCACAACUCCAUUCCCUCCAUCCCCUGCUUUUACAUAUAUUUUCGCCCUAUCAAAACACCUCAUUACUGCUGGCACCCCUUUUUCUUUCUCUGUCAUUCCUUCAAACACAUUUUCAUCCCCACCAUCUCCAAAAACCAAUAUUUCAUCAUCCUCAUCAUCAAAAUCAUCACCACUUUCGUAAUCUGAAUCAGAACCCCCCUCAUAAAGCUCAAACUUCUCGUAAUCAAACCCAAAUUUCCCAUUUUCAUCCUCACUUUUAUCAUCAAAAUCCAAUCUUUCUCCAAAACCCUUCUGUUUUUUAGGGGGCUUUAAGUCAGAUAACUUCACUUCUCUAAUGGGAUUGUUCUGAAGGGGAAUAGAAAAGUCAUCUUUAGGAGGAAGGGAAGUGUAGGUGGUGGCUUCACCGCCACCUUGGACUGCUGAAGACGGGGCUGGAGCAUCUUUUAUGUUCAGUUUUCUGUUUUGAAUAGUUUUUUUCUUGGGGUUUAUGGAAAUAUUUUUCUUGGGGGCAGGUCUGUUUCUUGCUAGUGAUUGCGGGCAGAAGCAAAAAGCACUGCUAGAAGAUAUGGUGGGAGAAACCAUUUUUAGUUAUUUUUGGGUCAAGAAAAUGGAGACAGAAGCUACCUGCGGAGCUUUACUAAGAGAAUGAAAAUGAAAAAUAUUUUUGGAGGGAUAUUUGAUGAAGGAGGAGGAGUAUAUGUCCACGUGGCAUUAAAUUUUGGGCUCAGAUAUUUGAUGAAAGAAGGCAGCUUCCCUGCCACUAUGGGCUAGCCCAAAUCCCUAAUGAUCAGUUGGGUCUCGAAUUUCUAAAACUCGUGACAGAUAGGGCAGUCUUGUUUUUUAUUUUAUUUUCUUGAUUUGUUGGUCUGUUAUCCACUUUGUCGGAGGGAGGGUGGUGUUGCUUGAACAUUAUUUUCACAACUAUUAUUCAAAUAAAUGCCAAAAUUUGGCCUUCCAAGUCCAAGUGCAAAGUAGUUUUAUCAUUUUAAAAAGAAAUUUUUUUUUUGUAGAAAUAAAAGAAUUCUAACUGUGACAAUACCAUUUGUAAUUAUGUGAUUUAGUCAGGUUUUUUUCCUCUUAUAUAAUGAAGAAAUAUGAAUAGAUUAACUGUUGACGUUUCGAGAAAUAAUAACAAAAAAAAAAAGUUCUUACGAGCGAUCAAUUCUUAUCAUAAUCUGGGAAUUAUUCUCCAAUUCCAAGUUUAUGUGAUUGCAUAGUUUUAUAAUCCCACUGCAACUGCAACUAGGACGGGGUUCGCUUGAUUAAUCCCAUUUAUGUCGUGGGAACGUGUAAGGAAUAAAGAUUGAUGAAUACUAGUUCUUAGUUUAAUUACAACUUUGUUUUCCAGCAUGCACAGAUUUCUAUUCUAGAUAACAUCAAUCUUGUGACUAGACGUGAAGUCCUUUAAAUUUGAGAACGGAGUGUGAAAAUUUGAAUGCUGAUCAGCAAUAUUUUGCGAAAACGGACGAUGAAGAAGCAAAUAACUUGCCGAAAAUUUCAGAAAAUAAAGGGAAUGUAGCGUGGUCGUAAAAGAUAGUAGUCAGAUGAAAAGGAUAAGUUUCAAGAACUUGAAAAGAUCUUCCUAGCUUAGAAGAAGAUUAUUAGGAAAUAAAUUAAGAACGGCGUGGUCCUUUUUAACAACUUGCAGCUCAAGGAAUUUCAACUGAUCCAUCACUGAUCACUAAUAAUGGGAUUCUGAAGUUAUUCUGCUGUUGAUGGUGACAAAAACAUGUUGAAGAUUCAAGAGGCAAGAAAAGGAAUGUUACUAUUUUGGUGCCAAAGAGCAGAACACUGGCACAAAAGGCUGGCUAACCUAUUUAAUAAGUAACUUUCAUAAAUAUCAAAUGGAGAUUGUUGUGCUCAUGCAAUAACAAUAAUAAUACUAACAAAACAAAACAAAAAAAUUUCUUGCACUGAACAAAACUGUGGCUUCAAUGUGGCCACAGCUUCUCCAUAGAACAAUGGGCUAACGAACGAUACCAUUUUUCUCUUAUCUAGGCUUCCGGCCAAUAACUUGACAUCCAAUGGCCAAGAUCAAGAUAAAGGGGACCUUAGAUGAAAUGACGAGAUCAAGAAAUGGAAGAUUAGAUCAUCUUAGAAUAUAUUGUUAGCAAGUAAAAGAAAGCGUGGUCCGUUUACAACUUGUGUCUCAACUCAAGUAGUACUAAUUUCAACUCCAUCACUGAGCAUGGGCUUCUGAAAUUAUUCUGCUGUUGCCGACAGCUAGCAACAAGAUCAUCUUGAACGUUCAAGAGACAAAAGGGAAAAAAAAAAAAAAAGAUAUGUAAUGUAAAGUGCUUCUCUUUCGACAAGAAAAGAAUUUUCGAUUCAAGGGACAAGAACAUCUUGAAGAUUCAAGAGACCAAAAUUGUGCCUUUUUCGAUUAAGUUAGCAGAAUUUUAGCUCAUAUAUACCACGGGAAAAAACAGUUAGUAGAAUUUUAUGCACUAGCUAGAAGAAAAUGGACGAGAAAAACAAUUAAUUGCCUGAUGGUAUUCCCCGGCCGGCAUGCAGUUCGUUCCAUAGGUUAAUUAGCCAUGAGUUAAGUCUAGCUUGGGGGGCUAGUUGUUAGACUGAAUUAAGUACUUCGGCAUCAAUGUGGCCAGAUUUUCUCCACGGACAAAUGAGCUCCCGAAUGUUAUUUCUUUCUUUCUUUUUUGCCAAGAUAGGUUGCUGGCCAGUGAUUCCUUAUCCCAUUCCCAACUAAGUUAUAGAAUCAACCAAAAAAAAAAAAAGUAAGUUAAACAAUCAAUAACUUGAUGCAGGGAUGGGUUUGUUGUUUGAAUUUGGACCUUUUUUUUCAAGUCACAAGCAAAUUAAUUGGGUGGUUUGGUUUGUAAAAUAUAUCAGUACCUCGUCAUCCAGUCCAGGGAUGGCUCUUCCGAAGAUCAUGCAAAGCCAUCAAACCCUCCAUACAUAGCUUCCUUAAUUUGGCUUUCAAACAAUAACUUGCCAUAACUUGAUAUAAUAAUAUUUGCAAUGUGAAAAAUGUACAUAAAAUCUGGUUGCGAUGAGAUACAAUAAUGUGUUAAAAAAUUGUUAUAUUUGUUCAAGAAUAGUUCCUGCCUCUCUUCCUAAAGCAGUAUCCAAAUGCACAAAAGCAGAUUAGGACAAGGAAUGGAAAAUAGUGUGUAACGUUCUACUGAUAUAGAAACUGAACAAUUCAAAGUAUGGACUUUGCAUGAGCAAUGAGUGCUGGGGGAUUUAGUUAUCUAUAAAUAGAAGAGAAGCAGGCAGGCAUUUUGCGCAUCAGGAGCACAAAACAAACUAGUACUAGUCAAUGAAGAUGAUGAUGAAUCCCCCAAUGUUGUCCUUCCUGGGUCUCCUUGGCUUCAUCGUGAUGCUGUUGGUGACUCCUCCACUAGACGUCUCCGGCAGCGGCAUGCUGUACAAAGGCCUAACAAUCUCAGCUCUGAACAUAACGGGCCGAGUAGCGUGCUCCACAUCAUCCAACCCUCCGGCCAGCACCCCAGGGAUCGGCGGCGUGUUGAAUCUUACCUUCACCUGCAAUGGGGGUGCCACCAAACUCGGCAGCGUUCUGACUGAUCCCGAAGGGUUCUUUGAUUUCCUUGCAACCUUCAUCGAUGGCCUUGUCACCGACGAUACAACGCUGCCUUGCGUGGUCACCGUGCCACUUCCUGCAAAUUCCAGCUGUUCAGUUUUUCCUCCAAAAGCAGUCCUAAGAGCUACUCUUCGCAUCGUUGGUGUGACUGUUAAUGCUCUUCUCGGUUUGGUUUGUAUUGUCAACAUUGGCGAGUUAACCAGUGCUGCUGCUGUCAACAUUUAGUCCAAAAUGACCCCAUGGACGUGCCUGAUGAUGAGUGAUGACCACCACGUCUUCAUUCUUCGAUCAACUGAUCUUGUUUUGCAUCAUGUCAGAAACACUAUUGUAUACUUUAAAAUUUCGAAUGCUUAUUUUGUGUGCAUCUCGUCCAGGAUGAUAAAUAACGUAUAAAUGUUCAUUGAAUGAAGUUUGUUGAACCAGUUUAUAUUUAUGCGCUUCGUGCAGAAUCAUAUAUAAUAGUAACAUGCAGCUUCAUUUCUUCAGUAAGUACCAUAUAUAUACCACCAAACACAAAACCAGUUCGCUCAAAACACUAAAACGCUAUAUAUACAAAUGCUGCUAUUUUCCAGUCCAGAGUUCCUUCGUGUGCCGGAUUUUUGGAAGCUGUGGUUGAUGACAGUAUAAGAUUUGUCACUAGCUCAUGGUCUGGCUUUCUGAGAACUCAGGAAAAUCGGGAACUGGUACUUAGAUUGGCAUUAUCAUCUGGUGUAAUAGUCUAGGAAUUUCCGUAUGUAUGUAAGAAUAUGCAAUUUCUCAAAUCACUAAAAAGUUCACACACAACACACACACACAUACACAUAUAUAUAUGUAUGUAUGUAUGUAUAUAUGCGCACUGUAAUUUCACUUGAAUUGUGGCGCAGUAGCUAGAUCUGUACAUGAAAGUUGAAACCCUUUUAUUGUAAUUUAUGAAACUGGUGAUAGAGAAUUAGAGUUUUAACUUUUAACUAGACUCAAAGUAUCUCCACCAUGUAUCUAGAGUAGCUUCUUUAAGUAUGCAACACUAUACAGUUGCCUAGGGGACUAGAGUCUUACCAAGAAAAAAGGGAACUUUCGUCAUUAGUGUAGAGGAUUGCCAAUUAAUUCCUCCCUCCCCACCAACAAACAUGGAAGAAAAAUCCCAUACAAUGUGAUUAUAGAAGCCUAGAUUUUGCGUAACUUAGGUGUUUGAUCUCUUCUAAAACUCUUCGAAGGAAGCAUAUAUGAAUAAAGGCCAAACACCAUACUAUUGCCUAGCUAUCGCUCUUAUAUAUCUCCCUUCCUAAUUCCUUGCAUGCAGUAUCGCUCUUAUAAGACGAGCAUGAACGGAGAAACAAGUGAUGUUAAAAAUCGUGAUGAUACCAAAAGGAUCCGUCGUCAAAUCAUCAAAUGUUCAGAAGAGGCAGUAAGAUAUCUAUGGCAAUAAGAUAUAUCAUAUCAUAGAGUAAAAACACAAAUUCGAAGGACUGGCAGGAUAUGUACAUCAGCAAACUCGUUCCUCCCAAGCAAAAUGAACACAAACUAGUUAGUUCCUAAACAAUGUUAGCAUCUAAACAUAGCGCUAAACACAAAAUUCCAGACACAAGCACUUAACAAGCCAAAUUUUAUCCAAAAAUCCUUCCACAGGCCUGUCAACUGCAUGGCUGCGAAAGAAAAGACUCCAUAUAUGCCCCAGUGAGCCCAACUGUUUGAACAUGUUCGAAUGCCCGGUCAAUACCUUACAAUCCCCUGAAGAUGCUGCUCCAGCUGCAGCCAUCACCCCAUCACCAUCUGUUUGUGAUAACUCUACAACCAUCGAGCAAACUGGAUUUACGGACCCCAAGUCCCGGAUAUACUUCUUCCCCAUUUUCUUCAGACCCACAUUACCCAAAACAUGAACAAGAGAAUCAGGAAGACAACCCGGCUGUCACAUCCUUCAGCACUGAAAGCGCCAACGCGUUAUCAACAGCAAUGGACACAGAGUCAAAAGUGGCAUUCAGGAAUUCUUGACGGCUCUCCCCUUGAUGAAAUACAGGAACGAUGGUCACCCAAAGCGGGUUCUGGUGGAAAUAAGCAACCGUCACCAGAUUAGUGUAGUCCAGGGCAUGAUUCUCAGACGGGUUCGCGAUUUUCAAUUUGAUAACCCACACUGCUGUGAUAUUAUAGGCUGUAGAGAUAAUGUACGGGCUGGAAACCAAAUCAAACUUGACCGGAUCAGCACUGUCUGAGUAGAUGGCGUACUAGGGGACGAUAACAAAGCCUGGUACGAUAAUUGAUGCUAAUGCCAGAAAGGAGUGUCGCAGCACCAAGAAUCCCACGCAGCCCAGAGAAACCAAGGUUGCAGACAUGGAGACGGGGCUCAAGUUUCUUGGCAUCAGCAAGAGCAGCAGUUUCGUUAUCAGUUUUUUUAGUUCCGUCUUGGUUCGACUUGAUGUGUACUGUUUCUUGUAAUUAUGCUUAAAAUUUUGAGAGCUAAACUUCAGAUAUAAACUUUCUAUUUAAGUGAUUCUUCCCCCACCUUCUUGAUGACUCAAUUCGGUAAGCUUUUAAGUUAGACACGAAAUAUUUUAUCAAUCAAAUUGUGCCAUUUGUCAACAUUUAUCUAAUGUUAACACAUGUUGGACUUUAUUUCUGUGCAGAUACUGUUAAUCGGAUUGUCCAUAUAUUCAAUGUAUAAUCUAGUAAUUGAUUGUAAGCAUUAGAUCGGUGAAAGCAUAUGUGUCCACUCAAAUUAAACAGCCCUGUGAAAAUAUUAUUUUCAUCAUUCACAUAACCAAUCAUUACAAAGUCUUCACAAUGAAUAUAUCCAACAGUUGUUUCCUCAUAAUUUGGUGGAAGAUGCAGUAGCAGGACCUAGAGCUAGAGACUAAUGAAACAACAUGAACAUUUGGAAUUGAAGUUUUCACUGAUUCAACACUGUUAUUUCUGUUGAACCAAUUACUCACACAACUCUAGAGUGAAACAAAGGGGUUGAUAACUCAAUAUACUUCUAGCCUAUUGCAACAAUAUCAAUUACAAUUGAUUUGAGCCUCUUUUCUGGCCCUGAUUUCUGUCUCAGAAUCUCCUCUGAAAGAGAUAUGUUGUAGAAAAAUGAUCCAAACUUUGCUUGCUGGCUUCUUUUUUGCUAAUUCCAGAAUGCCUGCUUCGAAGAUGAUCGACUUCACUGAUACAUAUUUCUUUAUUUCCUUUUCCACAUUCUUCUUUCACAUCUUUGCUUGUGACAUUGUUUUAAUUUGUGAAUAGUUGGCUUCCCAGAGUGACUAUUGUACCUUCACCUGCUACUGUUGUAAGCAUGAUCUCUUUCUCCAGUAUCUGAUCAAGCUCUAUGGCUACCAUCUCCAUAGUUGGCCUCAAUCUUCCCGGAAAGCUCAUGCAUCGCAACAUCAGUCUGAUCAAAUCCCUCAUGCCCUCCUCUGUAAAGCUCCCAACUAGCCGAUGAUCAACCAUGUUGUUUGAAUCCAGAUGCCUUUCAACCUAGGUUUAUACACAGGGAGUUUUUAACAUUAUAAUGCAAUUCUUAUGCAAGUGUUUGGUGCAAUUAUUGUGUUACAGUUACGGUUUUCCUUAUUUUAGCAUCACAUAUGUAUGUGCAGAAGUCUGUACAAGUAUUGUGUUUGGUGCCUUUUUUGUUUUUUUGGGCUUAGAAAGUAUGUGCAAGAGAAUUAGACCUGGGUAAAACUAAAUAAUCUGAAUUGGCUGAUAAAAAUGCGUGAAGUUAUAUAUCAACACUUCACUAGUUAAAUAGUCAAGAUCAUCCAAGUUUAAUUUCUUAUUAAGACUUCUACCCUAUGCUUGGGAUCUGCAUCACAAUCGCAAUGGAAGAAUUUCCUAAAGUUGCCCUAAUCAUAAAUAUUUGCCCGCUAUUCCCUGUAGUGAAGAAGAAAAUGGUCAAGAAAUAACUUUCAGAGGGCUUCCCACUUUUUCCCUGUUGAUUUAUAUGCAUUAGUGAAUAUUGACUUAUAACGUCAAUGAAGUCCUGCAGUCUCAAAACCCGAGAAACUUUUCAAGUUUUUUACCACAAAAUCCUUAACCAUCCAGAACAAUCGCAUCUCUUCUUUGCACUUGAAUUAGUGAGCAUUGCUCUUACAUACCCAUGUCACUACGCUUUCACUGGAUCCGAAGGCGCCCAUAUGAGAAGCAUCCAUUCCAGUUAUGAGCUCCAAUAGAAAUACGCCAAAGCUGUACACAUCACUUGUUUCAAAAAAUCUACCCAUUUUGACCAUCCUAGACAACGGAAUACGUAUUGAAUAAAUCAGUAUCAAAGACAAUUUCAUCAUUGAAAUAUGCAGUUCUUCCCUGUAAGUGUUGAAACUAAAUAAAAAGUUUGGCCAGAAGAGUUCGGUUUACUCUGGAUCUCUGAAAGCAUUGGCACUUGUGGAAGAUGGACCUGCAUAUUCAAAUUUCCCCAGUAAUAUUGAGAGCCCUGCAUCUGCAACUUUAGCAGUGAAGUUCUCAUCAACCAAGACAUUGGCUGUCUUGAAGUUUCCAUGCACUAAGGGAGGGAUUUGGCCAUGCAAAUAGCAUAAACCUGAAAUGGAAUACGGUUGUCAUUUUUUAUCUGCAGGUAACUUCUUGGAAAAUGAAGGCGUCAGUACGAGAAAAGCUUAAUGAUGCUAUAAGUUUCCAAAAAAGGAUACCUUUUGCUGCUCCAAGAGCUAUAGCCAGCCUUUGCCUAAAUUCCAGUUUUGGCAUUCCUUCUUUUCCAGUGUCUGCCAAAACAAGUUCGUAUGACAUACAUAAAUACAUCUGAAAAUCGAGAUAUAUGCACCUUGAGUACAAAAAUUUUACCAUAUAAAUGGUUACAGAUGCUGCCAUUUGGUAAAUAUUCAAAAAUUAGCAUUUGGUAGCUACCAUCCUGGAAGUAGCCAAGAAGUGUAACAAGGUUCCUGUGAUGAAUUCUUGAUAAGCCAAUCACCUGUCAUCAUAAUUUCAAUCAGGCAAGAAUAAAAAAUAAAUCAAUUUCAAGGGUAAAUUUUGACACUCCAUGUUACAGGAAUUGAGGAAACUUGUCCACAUGGCACACAAGGAAUCCAUAUUAUUCUGUCAGAUAAUUAUUAGGCACCAGAUUCAUGCAUUGCUUCGGAACUGAAAACUUGAAAAGGUGUAGACAACAAGAUGAAAUUGAGGACCACUAGUUAUAUUCUUUAUACACUCGAGAUAAAUUUAUCCUAAAAAUAUGGACAGUUGAUGAGGUGCAUGCUGAAGAAAUAUUGGAGACAAAUAUUAUCUUGGCUUUGAGUUUCAUACUGUAACUUUGUUUUACCUCUUCAACAAAUUCUCGUCUAGGAGCACCAGUCAGCCUCUUGACAGCCACAACAGUACCAUCACAAAGCAAUCCUUUAUAGACCAGACCAAGGCUUCCACAUCCAAUGAGAUUGCCCUCAUCAAAAUUUCUGGUAGCUUGUUCCAAUUCUUCCAAUCUGAAUUGCCUUGCUUCCUGUGGUCCCGCUAGGGGUGGCGAUGUGGACGAACUGGCUCCACCUCUUUUCAACUCCACUAUAUUGCCUUUGAGCAGCAAGUUAGAGGAAGAAGAAUGGCAAGAGAUUGAAAAUUCCUCUAUGUUUGACAAUUACCUACUGCAGAUGGAUCUGAAGAACCCGUCUCUGAGUUCUUAUUUGACGGCUUUUGACAAUGUGAAAUGCAGAACCAAAAAAUCAAGCUGAUUACCACCAAGAAUGCUAGAAUUCCUCCAACACCUCCAACUAUGGCUGCAAUUGAAGUUGCCAUGCAGUAAAGAAUCCACACCUUCCUCAGGAGAUCUGCACAUUGAACCUGUGAUAUGAAAUGAAUCUGUAAAUAGAUUUCCCAGGUCAUGAUCAUGAACAUGAUUUAGUAACUGUCAUCGUCUUAAAAAUUAGCAACUUCUACCUCUAAACUAAUGAAAGAAAUCAGAACUGGCCCUAACUCUAAAGUAGAGAAGUUUCUUGACACUUGCUUCUCCUAAAUUACCAAGUUCUUAAAGUACCUCGUUAUGAUAACAAUCCCCAGAACCGCAAACUGGCUGAUACUAAGUCUAUCAAUUUGGGGAACAGCAGCUAUGGAAAGGAGCAAUGCUGCCAUUUCUUUUUACCAGAGACAACUCAUAUGCAUUUCAAUGUACCCCACUUCAAUUGUCGUCCAUGUCUUUGCAUAUUAUCAACAGCAUGGAAACUAGGGAAUCUAGUAAAUAGGACGCAUCAUCCUUUCUUAGCAAAAGAAUCCAUUGAUUGUGUUAUAUUCUCCAAGCUGACUGCAGCUUUUUCUUUUUUCUUGUUCACUUUUUACCCUUGUUCCCACUUCAACAUGAUGUCAGUUCAUUGCUCUUGCCCACCGACUCAAUUGAACUAAUCAAUGUAGCAUCAUAGAUUCCUUACAUACCUGACAAAAAUAUUUGUACUUAAAAGUUUCAGUACCUUUUAAUCUGAGCAGAAUGACCAGUGCUGCCGCAAAAUACUGACUUCGCCACUUGGAUUGUGUUUACAGCAUAUUAUUGAUAUCUGUCAAGUAAUUCCACAUGGUGCAUUUUAUUCGCAGAAUACCACGUAGACAAAACAAUUAGAAUAUACUUGUGUUAAUACUUAAUAUCCGUACAGGAAAGAUGUGGCCAAAAGUUGGAUGCCCAUGUGAGGUGCUCUAACUCUAAGUGGGCUGUAAAGUUUGAUUUUUACUAGGACGUGGACACUGACCGAGUCUGAUUUUCUGUCGAACAGACAAUGCAAGACAUAUAAUUAUUGAAUGGGAUCCAGAGAAAGGUAGCUAUCAUUCCAUGAAAUCCCAAUCUUUUCAUUUCAUUCACUAUAUCUGCCUUUUCGCACCCCCCCCCCUCCCCCUUCCCCCCUCUUUUUUUCUUUUUUUGUCAUCUGACCUGGAAAGAUGAGGGUGAUCGGUUAUUACUCCCUGAUACAGGACGAGUCCAUUCUUGAUCAUCACGACAGAAAAGCCAACGAGGCAUCACAAUAGCAAGACACAUAGGCUUUCAACUUCGGGGCAGGAUGUCAUUGUUCUGCUUUCCAGUGUAUUAGUGACGGAUGGAGAUGAAGUAUUUGUAGUUUACCCUGGUAUGAAUAUGAUGGCCUUUGUGGGAUUUAUAUUUUUUGAAAAAUGUUAAAGAGUUUGAGCUGUGAAGUGUGAGAUAACGAGGGGGAAGAUUGUCUAGCUGUACAGCUCUGUUGUCACUCCCUCUCCUACUGUCUACUGUCCCAUUUGUUUGUUUUGUAUCUUUCCCUGAGUUUGUUUUCGUCAGAGUUGGGCUGUAAAGCAGAAGGGGAAUGGUGGAAGGGGGGUUGUCAUGUUCUGAAGGACUCUAGGCUGAAUGCAAGUGAGGCCUCUGUUCUUUCUUUCUCUCUCAAACACUGAAAGAGAUUGAUAUUGUGGGGGAAAGGGUCGAUAUCUCAAAUUGGAUAUCAUUUGGAUCUGCUGUCUGUGUCCUUGGAAGCAAGUGGGGAUGUUUGUUUUAUAGGCCUUUUGUGGUACAAAGAUUGUUCUUCCUCAACACCUCUCUUGUGUUUCAUUAGCUUUUGUGCUUUUUGGUUGCACUAGCAUUUUAUGCUGUUGAAUUAAUGAAAGGAGUCCUCCGCAAAUUUCACUUUGUAAAUCGCUUGAUGAUUUCCUCAUCUGCAAGUUUGGUGUGGUAGAUUACCUAAGUUAAGUGGCGGGGUGGCAAGUGGCAAAUGGCAAUAAUCUCAUCAUCAAGUGCUCUGGUCUUGUGAUGGUGGACCAUUUGAUGUGAAUGACUGCAACACAUACGUCCAACUAAAUCCUACCGGUUAAGAUUGUAGCCUUGUUCUCCUUCGUUGUAUGACUUGGUGAUGAAACGUGAUUAUAGAGAACAUUCGGAAUCAGCAAAAGCUACUUCUUGAUAGAUUAUGAAUUUUAGCUUUUUUUUUUAACUAUUGAAAAAACUAUAGUUUAAAUACACAAGCAAAUAAGAACGUCAAAAAACUGAUUAUCCAAAAUCAGAUUCUAUAAUCAACCGAGAACAAGCCUUGUAAUUCACUCUAGAUCAUCAAAUCACCAUUGUGCCAUUCUCAUGUACACUGCUUCUUCUUCUUCUUCUUCUUUUUUUUUUUUUUGUAUUUUUGAAAUUUAACACUUUAAAUCAUUCAAUAUGCAUAGUCUUUACACCAGUGACUUGAGCCAUGGUUCGCCAUCGCAGGUCGCGGUUGCGUCGCGGUCUCGAUUGUUUCACAUCCGUCAUGGUAUAUCGGGUAAUACGCACAUUAUAACACAUGAAAGUUUUCAAAAAUUUUGAAAAAAAAAUUAUUAAAAUUAGAAAAUACCAAAAAAUGUACAAUUUAAAAAAAUAUCCGAGUUGACUCGGAUAUAUCGAUCGAUAUCAUGCAUCACGGAUUCAAAUCGACCAAUAUCGACCGAAUCAGAGCAAGUCGUUGCGGAUAUGGUAAUAUCUGCGAUUCGAGAAUCAGUAUCGUACCGAUCCCCACCGUUCCGGUUACGAUUUAGCCAAUACGUAUCGGUAUCGGCGGAUAUUGCAAACCAUGACUUGAGCAACCACAGAACAUGAUGGGGGCCAGUCUAUAUGGGGACUGAGAGACUUGGUGCCUCGGAAAUCCACUUUCUCAUGAGCCAUAAAAGAAGUUCAGGUUCCAUUUUGUGGGCAACAUUGAAUACAAAUUGACAGUUAGAUGUCAGUUCUAGUUCUAUGCUACUUUUUUACUCAGAGAUGCUGAUCGAACAAGGAGCAGCAGCAAUCGUGAGGCAACUGCGUAAAUGUGUUUCCUCCGGCAACCCGUUUUAGAUCACUUUCACCAUGAACUGUUGACGACGUGCAUUGUCGAAUUUUGAACUAGUGAUCUGCUCUGCAUGGUUGGUUUCAAGUCUUACAACGUACAUCCGAAUGCAUAGAUGUAUAGCACCCGCAAUUCAAACCCAAACAUCAUAUUGCAAUAAUGUAGCACCCAGAAAAAAAAGAAAAAGAAAAAAAAGAGUACUACCUUGUUACGCGUUUUCAGUAUAUUUUAAUUUCCCCAACUUUUCCACCCUUUGCUUACGCAGGUUAGAUCACAUUUCCUCUUCUCUGAUUGUACGAACUGCAAUUGAAUGUACUGUGGGAAUCAAAGAAGUGGCAGCGUCACAAACUUAGCCCUGUAUGGCAAGGUCCUUCUUCUGGAAUCUUGUUAUGGUUCAGAAAUUAUCAGUUUGGCUUUUGCUUGCAAGUGCAGCCUCUUUACUUUUUUUGGUUUUGUUUUUACUUCUUGAUGUGUCACAUCCUGCUCAAGUACUUUUCCUCUUCAUCUGCAUCUCUGUGGUUCCCCAACUAACCAAAUCAGACAUGAUUUCAAUUUUCAAGCAACCAUAAAUAAAGUUGCCUUGCCAAAAACACUAAAGGCUGAAACUGUAGUGAAUGAUGGAAGAUAAUUAAAAACAUAGGAGGUAAGCUGCGUCCCUCUAAAGAUCAUAGUGGAAUCUUGAAAGGUUCUUUGCAAAGAAGACGACUUUUCUGAUGCUAAGCCUACCCUCCGCAAAAGGAAAUCUUUACGAGUUAAAGGCCCCAAAAAAAAAAAAAAAGAGUUUGGAGUAAACUUACAGUAACAUAAUCCUGUCCGAGUAAAUUGGCAGCUAAAGACUUGGGAUCCAUCCUAUUUUCUAGAAAAGAAGAAAAAGGGCACCCCAACCAAGAAUAUCUGGAGACAACAUGGUCCUCUACUCAAUUCUAAAGACGAAGACUGGGUCCUUUAUGGCUUCUCAUGUACAUUUUUUAGGUAGUUUUCGUCGUCUUCUUGCAGGCUAUUAGCCACCAUUGGACAAAAGUGCCUCAAAUAAUUCCAAAUUCUACGAAGAAUAUGUGCCAGUCUCUGAAUAUCCAUUUAAUCAACCCAAACAGGGUAUUAUGCCAUCCAUCCCUUUGUAUUCCCUCAACGAGAGUAGGCGUAAGAAUUUAUACUCAUUAAAAAAAAAAAAAUUCAUUCAACUGAAACUCUACAAGGUGAGAGCCUUAUGUAGAAAAAAAAAAUUCUGGAACUUUAUCACCCUCAGAUUCAAUUAUUCUUAAGGGCCAUUUAGAGUCAAAUUAAGAACGCAUAAAUUCUACUUUAUACACUUACAUGAAAACAGUCUCUCAGACAAGUCAAAGUUAAAUUCAAUACCCACUGUAGGUGAACACUCCUGACAAGUAAAACAUACAUUCAUCAACCAUUGUAGAUAUGGGGACCCUUAAAACAAAGGAGGGGUCAACAAAAACAGAUCUUUCAUCCUGACAUAUUUACAAGUCUACACGAGCUGCAUCUGUUAACCUAACAUCAAAUAACAUAGGAAAAUUAGCAGUUUCUUUGGUAUCUCUACAGUUACCAAGCCAAGUUACUACCACAUUUAUGCACUAAAUUAC
RNAcentral lists this long non-coding RNA (32383 nucleotides) under Coffea arabica (coffee). RNAcentral's name for it is "long non-coding RNA (CARA_LNC002409)". Lineage: Eukaryota; Viridiplantae; Streptophyta; Magnoliopsida; Gentianales; Rubiaceae. The record is from RNAcentral.